AGCAGCCGCGGUAAUUCCAGCUCCAAUAGCGUAUAUUAAAGUUGUUGCAGUUAAAAAGCUCGUAGUUGAAUUUCGGGAUCAGUACGCUGGUCGUGCCUUUGGUAUGUACUGGUGUCACUGAUUCCUCCCUUCUGAAGAACCGUUAUGCCAUUUAUUUGGUGUGGCGGGAAAUCAGGACUGUUACUUUGAAGAAAUUAGAGUGUUUAAAGCAGGCUCGCGCUUGAAUACAUUAGCAUGGAAUAAUGAAAUAGGACGUUUGAUCUUAUUUUGUUGGUUUCUAGGAUCGACGUAAUGAUUAAUAGGGAUAGUUGGGGGCAUUAGUAUUCAAUUGUCAGAGGUGAAAUUCUUGGAUUUAUUGAAGACUAACUACUGCGAAAGCAUUUGCCAAGGAUGUUUUCAUUAAUCAAGAACGAAAGUUAGGGGAUCGAAGACGAUCAGAUACCGUCGUAGUCUUAACCAUAAACUAUGCCGACUAGGGAUCGGAUGAUGUUAUUUUAAUGA
RNAcentral lists this ribosomal RNA (501 nucleotides) under uncultured Glomus. Its description in RNAcentral is "SSU rRNA". It matches the Rfam family "Eukaryotic small subunit ribosomal RNA", at positions 569 to 1074 of the family's 1831-position model. Lineage: Eukaryota; Fungi; Glomeromycota; Glomeromycetes; Glomerales; Glomeraceae. The record is from RNAcentral.